Long non-coding RNA from Nomascus leucogenys (northern white-cheeked gibbon), 846 nucleotides. RefSeq lists it as uncharacterized. The transcript is spliced from 3 exons. The record is from RefSeq and is a predicted model, not a curated record. Lineage: Eukaryota; Metazoa; Chordata; Mammalia; Primates; Hylobatidae.
AUUACAGGCGUGAGCCACCGCGCCGGCCCUUAUUUUCAUAUAUGGCUAAAACAGGAGUCCAAUUUUUUUUUUUUUUCUGAAUAGGUAGCCUGUUAUGCCAGUUAAAUAUUUGUGGUUUAGUGAAAACCAAAAGAAUUAUGUAUUAAAUAAUAAUUCCUCACUGUAUUGAAAUGCUACUUUUGUUAAAUUAUUAUAUAUACUCACAUAUAUUUUAUAUUCUAAUCUGUCAUUCUUAUGCCAAUGACAUAUUGAUUUGGUCAUAGUGUUUUUGUAGUAUGUUUUAAUUUGGGGGGUUUUAGGAAGGCAAUAUAUAACACUAUUUCUGUGAUGAGGUCAUGAAGAGUGCCUCCUUUAUUCUGUUUCCCUUUCCAUGACAUUCACUGUGGGGAGGCUCUCUGUUGAAACUGUGGAGACACAAGAUGAAAGCAGUUGGAUCCCUGCAUCACUUUAUGGAGGAGAGUUUCUUCCCUGGAGCUUUGCCUGAUUGCAUCAUCUUUGUAUGUGGCCAAGGAGAGUGAUGGAAUGACCAAAGGGCCAGGGAGAACAAGGAACAAGGGACUUCUUCCUAGAGAAGCUUAAUGAAGAAACCUCUGACGAGGUCAAUGCAGGGUAGCACUGAUGACAGCUGGGACCGUGGGCUUGCUUCUUACAGGAAAGGAAAGCUUUCCAUAUUUCAAGUAUUGAGACAAGUAAGAUUUUUCUGUAAUUUUUUGUGGCUAUAUAGUGUCUCUUAAAAGAAAGUUCCCUUGGACUCCUAGCUUGCCUAGCUGUUUUUAUCUUGAAUGGCUGUUGAACUUUACAAUUUUUUUGUAUCUCUUGAAAUGAUCAUAUAUUUUUCUAUUAAAG